GUGGGCGGGCGCGCGGGGCUGUAGGAUCCACCUGCCUCAGGAUCCACAGAGCUGGGUCCCCGCCGCCCCUCGCAGACCCCACGGCCCUUCCGCUCCGCUCGGCCUCCACCACCCUGGCCUCGAGCUGCAGCCGUUCCAAGGGCAACGGCCGUCCCUGUGGCUGGGCCGCCGGCUAUGCAAUGCUGUCUCUCUUGCUGAUCCUCUCAGGCCUGGGCCGGCUGACCUCCGCGGGCCCGCGCCACUUAUUCCAUCAAAAUUGAGGGGAAACCAUAUACUUUCCUGCUUGAAAAACAGUCAUUUUUACACCCACAUUUCCUGGUGUAUUUAUACAAUGAAUCAGGAACAUUGUAUGUAGAUUCUUCAUUUUCAAAGGGUCUUUGCUUUUACCAAGGAUAUGCUGCAGACAUUCCAAAAUCAGCUGUGACACUACGCACCUGUUCUGGACUCAGAGGAUUAUUGCAGUUAGAUAAUAUCAGUUAUGGUAUUGAACCAUUGGAAUCUUCACCUACAUAUGAGCACGUAGUUUAUCGAAUAAAAAAUGAUGCUAUUGGUCAUUCCUCCUUUCAAGAAAAUUACCCUGUGGCUCAAUAUAUAGAUCAGUCCUACAGGAUUCUUGUCAAAUCAGAUAUAAAUUCAGGUGCCAUGCUAUCGAAAAGAACUCUGAAAAUACAAGUCAUUAUGGAUAAAGCCAUGUAUGAUUAUAUGGGCUCUGCAGUGGCAGUUGCAGUUGAGAAAGUUUUCCAAAUCUUUGGUCUUAUCAACACGAUGUUUUCCCAGCUUAAUAUAACAGUUAUGCUGUCUUCCUUGGAGAUCUGGUCAGAUCAAAAUAAGAUUUCAACAAGUGGUCAUGCUGAUGAAAUACUACAGCGAUUUUUGCCUUGGAAACAAAAACUUUUGUUUCAAAGGUCUUAUGAUAUGACAUACUUAUUAAUUUAUAGGAACCAUUCUACUUAUGUGGGAGCAACAUAUCAUGGAAUGGCAUGUGAUCCAAAGUUUGCAACAGGAAUCGCUCUGUAUCCAAAGAAAAUCACUGUAGAGGCCUUUUCAGUUGUUAUGGCACAGUUGCUUGGAAUUAAUCUGGGAUUGACAUAUGAUGAUAUCUACAAUUGUUACUGUCCAGGACCUACAUGCAUAAUGAAUCCUGAUGCGAUACGAUCCCAUGGUAUGAAGUUUUUUAGCAGUUGCAGCAUGGAUGGAUUUAAACAGAUAGUUCUGCAGCCUGAACUUAAAUGUUUUCAGGAUAAAACAGUUUCAGAAAUGACUUACCGAAAGUCCGCAACUUGUGGCAAUGGAAUUUUGGAACCUACAGAACAGUGUGAUUGUGGCUAUAGAAAGAGACAGGAUUUCAUCAUGUUGGCCAGGCUAGUCUCAAACUUCUGACCUCAGGUUAUCCACCUGCCUCAGCCUCUCAAAGUGCUGGGAUUACAAACGCAUGCACUUAUAAAAAAUGCUGUAAUCCUGUAGAUUGUACUCUAAUUGGAUUUGCAGAAUGUGGCACUGGACCAUGCUGUAACAAUAAAACUUGUACGAUCUAUGCAAGAGGCCAUGUCUGCAGAAAAAGCAUAGAUAUGUGUGAUUUUCCAGAAUAUUGCAAUGGAACAUCUGAGUUUUGUGUACCUGAUGUAAAAGCUGCUGAUUUAGAAUCCUGCAGUAAUAAGACUAGCUAUUGCUUUAAAGGAGUAUGCAGAGAAAGGGAUAGACAGUGUUCACAGUUAUUUGGAAAAUUUUCUAAGUCCGCUAAUCUUCUGUGUACAGAAGAAGUGAAUUUUCAACAUGACAAAUUUGGAAACUGUGGUCAACGCUGUAAUUUUUUUGAUAUCCUUUGUGGAAAGAUUGUUUGUCACUGGAUACAUUCAGAACUAGUACCAAUGACAGACUUAGAUAUACAAUAUACUUACCUUGGAGGUCAUGUAUGUUUGUCAGCACAUGCAAGAAAUGCUUCAAAACAAUUGAGGACCUAUACAGAAGAUAUAACUGCGUGUGGUCAGCAAAAGGUAUGUCAUUCGCAUGGAUGCAGAUAUCUUAGUGAACUAAAUAUAACAAAAUGUACUACAAAUUGUGGACAGAAUGGGAUUUGCAAUGAACAUUUCCAUUGUCAAUGUGAUCCUGGUUAUGCUCCUCCAGAUUGUGAGCCAUCAAUAUCAUCACCAGGAGGAAGUAUCGAUGACGGAUUUUGGCUUUCAGUAGAUAAAAGUGUACCCUUGUUUCCAAAACGACGUGCUGCUCCUAAAAACAAUGGUCUUUUGAUCAGUUUCUACAUUUUUUCACCUUUGCUCAUUUUAAUUGCUAUUGUCAGUCUUAAAUGGAAUAAAAUGAAGAGAUAUUGGAGCAAAGUGGGAACAGUAAGCAGCAAAUCUAUCUCAGAAGACAGCAGUAGUAACAACAGCGAGUCACAGAGUUAAAGUAACCAAGUGAUAAAAUCAAAGCCAUCGGAUGAAGAAAGGAUAUUACCAAGAAACUCACCAUUAACUUAAAACUUUCAAUUUCACAAAACAAAAUAAAUCAUAUGACUAAAAGCAUA
Molecule: RNA transcript, 2521 nt
Organism: Piliocolobus tephrosceles (Ugandan red Colobus)
Lineage: Eukaryota; Metazoa; Chordata; Mammalia; Primates; Cercopithecidae
Gene: ADAM3A
Gene name: A disintegrin and metallopeptidase domain 3A
Exons: 21
Source: RefSeq, a predicted model, not a curated record